UUAUGGCUCAGAACGAACGCUGGCGGCGCGUUUAAGCAUGCAAGUCGAGCGGCAAGGGCCUUCGGGCCCCUAGAGCGGCGGACGGGUGAGUAACACGUGGACAAUCUCGCCCCCCGGCCCGGGAUAGCCCAGGGAAACCUGGAUUAAUACCGGAUGAGACGGGACCCGCGAUGGCGGGACCCGGGAAAGGCGCUGCGGCGCCGCCGGGGGAUGAGUCUGCGUCCCAUUAGCUAGACGGCGGGGUAACGGCCCACCGUGGCGACGAUGGGUAGCCGGCCUGAGAGGGUGGACGGCCACAUUGGAACUGAGACACGGUCCAGACUCCUACGGGAGGCAGCAGCUAAGAAUCUUCCGCAAUGGGCGAAAGCCUGACGGAGCCGACGCCGCGUGAACGAAGAAGGCCGUGAGGUUGUAAAGUUCUUUUCGGGAGGGGGAACAACCGUGGCAGGGAAUGGCCGCGGGAUGACGUGAAUCCCGGAAUAAGCCCCGGCUAACUACGUGCCAGCCGCGGC
Molecule: ribosomal RNA, 512 nt
Filed under: uncultured bacterium
Lineage: Bacteria
Description: bacterial SSU rRNA
Rfam family: Bacterial small subunit ribosomal RNA
Source: RNAcentral